GGCGACGGGUGAGUAACCGUGGGCAAUCUGCCCUUCACUCUGGGACAAGCCCUGGAAACGGGGUCUAAUACCGGAUAACACUCUCCUCCUCCUGGGGGUGGGUUAAAAGCUCCGGCGGUGAAGGAUGAGCCCGCGGCCUAUCAGCUUGUUGGUGGGGUAAUGGCCUACCAAGGCGACGACGGGUAGCCGGCCUGAGAGGGCGACCGGCCACACUGGGACUGAGACACGGCCCAGACUCCUACGGGAGGCAGCAGUGGGGAAUAUUGCACAAUGGGCGAAAGCCUGAUGCAGCGACGCCGCGUGAGGGAUGACGGCCUUCGGGUUGUAAACCUCUUUCAGCAGGGAAGAAGCGCAAGUGACGGUACCUGCAGAAGAAGCACCGGCUAACUACGUGCCAGCAGCC
RNAcentral lists this ribosomal RNA (403 nucleotides) under Streptomyces sp. MBT50. RNAcentral describes it as "bacterial SSU rRNA". It matches the Rfam family "Bacterial small subunit ribosomal RNA", at positions 97 to 516 of the family's 1533-position model. Lineage: Bacteria; Bacillati; Actinomycetota; Actinomycetes; Kitasatosporales; Streptomycetaceae. The record is from RNAcentral.